This 407-nucleotide ribosomal RNA is filed under the name uncultured rumen bacterium. RNAcentral describes it as "bacterial SSU rRNA". It matches the Rfam family "Bacterial small subunit ribosomal RNA", at positions 354 to 776 of the family's 1533-position model. The record is from RNAcentral.
GUGGGGAAUAUUGCACAAUGGGCGAAAGCCUGAUGCAGCGACGCCGCGUGAGCGAUGAAGUAUUUCGGUAUGUAAAGCUCUAUCAGCAGGGAAGAAAAAAUGACGGUACCUGACUAAGAAGCUCCGGCUAAAUACGUGCCAGCAGCCGCGGUAAUACGUAUGGAGCAAGCGUUAUCCGGAUUUACUGGGUGUAAAGGGAGUGUAGGCGGUUUUAUAAGUCUGAUGUGAAAGCCCGUGGCUCAACCGCGGGACUGCAUUGGAAACUGUAGAACUAGAGUGUCGGAGAGGUAAGUGGAAUUCCUAGUGUAGCGGUGAAAUGCGUAGAUAUUAGGAGGAACACCAGUGGCGAAGGCGGCUUACUGGACGAUUACUGACGCUGAGGCUCGAAAGCGUGGGGAGCAAACAGG